AUUGACAGCUCGCGGCAGGCCUAACACAUGCAAGUCGAACGAGUGGCGGACGGGUGAGUAAUGUCUGGGAAACUGCCUGAUGGAGGGGGAUAACUCCUGGAAACGGUAGCUAAUACCGCAUACCAUCAGAUGUGCCCAGAUGGGAUUAGCUAGUUGGUGGGGUACCGGCUCACCAAGGCGACGAUCCCUAGCUGGUCUCAGAGGCUGACCAGCCACACUAGAACUGAGACACGGUCCAGACUCCUACGGUAGGCAGCAGUGGGGAAUAUUGCACAAUGGGCGCAAGCCUGAUGCAGCCAUGCCGCGUGUAUGAAGAAGGCCUGCGGGUUGUAAAGUACUUUCAGCGGGGAGGCGUUACCCGCAGAAGAAGCACCGGCUAACUCCGUGCCAGCAGCCGCGGUAAUAC
This 406-nucleotide ribosomal RNA is filed under the name uncultured bacterium. RNAcentral's name for it is "partial 16S ribosomal RNA". It matches the Rfam family "Bacterial small subunit ribosomal RNA", at positions 35 to 526 of the family's 1533-position model. The record is from RNAcentral.